CUCAGGCAGGAUGCUGCCCCAAGAAACAGGGCUGUGAAAACCCUGAACCUGAGCACAGAGUCUACCGGCCAGGACUGGAAACAGUCCCAAAAAGGUGGACUGUGAUCCCUACAGCUGAAGGGAACCUUUGGGGAAACUGAGGUAGGGGAUUCCAGCGGCAUGCUAUAGCACAAGGGGGUGUGCUCGAGGAAUGCAAACCCACCUACAUUUAUCUACCUUCCAGGGAGUUCUGAGGAUUAAUUGGAUCUUGGCAAAUCAGAUACCACAUAUGGAAUGAAGCUCUAAGUUGUUCAUUCACUGAUGUGUCUGCAGCAAUCAGGACCUUUGUGAAUGCCGAAGAGUAUGCAGUGUUCAAGAAACCAGCAAAAGUAUCCUUGGCUGUCCACCUCCCUGCCCCAAACUACUGUCAGACCGUUUAGCACACCCUACGCGCUGUUAAAUGUGCAUUGAUUAUCUGGCUUUAACAGCAUCAACAUUCACUCCAUCAAUGUUCAGACACCACUUUGGGAAAUAAAUAUCCAUAAAUCAUUCUGCUAACAUGACCCACCAA
Long non-coding RNA from Mauremys reevesii (Reeves's turtle), 550 nucleotides. RefSeq lists it as uncharacterized. Lineage: Eukaryota; Metazoa; Chordata; Testudines; Geoemydidae. The record is from RefSeq and is a predicted model, not a curated record. The transcript is spliced from 3 exons.